This 450-nucleotide ribosomal RNA is filed under the name uncultured Caulobacter sp. Its description in RNAcentral is "bacterial SSU rRNA". It matches the Rfam family "Bacterial small subunit ribosomal RNA", at positions 122 to 606 of the family's 1533-position model. Lineage: Bacteria; Pseudomonadati; Pseudomonadota; Alphaproteobacteria; Caulobacterales; Caulobacteraceae. The record is from RNAcentral.
GAACGUGCCUUUUGGUUCGGAAUAACUCAGGGAAACUUGUGCUAAUACCGAAUGUGCCCUUCGGGGGAAAGAUUUAUCGCCAUUAGAGCGGCCCGCGUCUGAUUAGCUAGUUGGUAGUGUAACGGACUACCAAGGCGACGAUCAGUAGCUGGUCUGAGAGGAUGAUCAGCCACAUUGGGACUGAGACACGGCCCAAACUCCUACCGGAGGCAGCAGUGGGGAAUCUUGCGCAAUGGGCGAAAGCCUGACGCAGCCAUGCCGCGUGAAUGAUGAAGGUCUUAGGAUUGUAAAAUUCUUUCACCGGGGACGAUAAUGACGGUACCCGGAGAAGAAGCCCCGGCUAACUUCGUGCCAGCAGCCGCGGUAAUACGAAGGGGGCUAGCGUUGCUCGGAAUUACUGGGCGUAAAGGGAGCGUAGGCGGACAUUUAAGUCAGGGGUGAAAUCCCGGG